Non-coding RNA from Microcebus murinus (gray mouse lemur), 1417 nucleotides. NCBI's taxonomy places the organism in Eukaryota, Metazoa, Chordata, Mammalia, Primates, Cheirogaleidae. The record is from RefSeq and is a predicted model, not a curated record.
GUGUGGGAAGUUAAUGCGGUAAUACCCAGCCCAAGAGCCUGAGUAUCAGGCUCUUUUUAAGUGAAGCCCCUGACACAGGGAGACUGCAAAUAUUAAAGGUAUUUCAGUAGAAGUCUUGGAGUGCAUUUUCAUUGAUUAAGGGGGAAAAAUGACUACUCUUAAAAGUUUAGAAACCAAAGUGACCCUUACUUCAACCCCAAUCCGUGGAGCAGGAGAUGGAAUGGAAACUGAGGAGCCACCUAAAUCUGUUGAAGUUGUUUCUAGAGUCCAAUCCAGAAAACAUCAUAUCCCUCAGAGUCCCUGGAAGAAACCUGUUCCAUCAGAGAGCCCAGGAAUUCUUCAGUUAGAGGAAAUUCUCACUGAAAAAGCUGUGGAAGUCAAAGCUAUAAGAAUAUUAGUUCCCAAAGCUGCUAUAACUCAUGAUAUCCCCAACAAAAAUGCAAAGGUUAAGUCUCUGGGACAUCAUAAAGGAGAAUUUCUUGGUCAGUCAGAGGGAGUUACAGAACCUAAUAAAGAACUCUCAGAGGUAAAAAAUAUGUUGGAAAAGCUCAAAAACUCUGAAAGAAAGUUACUACAGGACAAAGAAGGUCUUUCAAACCAGCUCCGAGUACAGACAGAGGUAAAUCGUGAGUUAAAAAAGUUGCUCGUGGCUUCUGUCGGGAAUGAUCUUCAGUAUCACUUUGAACGUCUAGCCCAUGAGAAAAAUCAGCUUAUUUUAGAAAAUGAAGUUCUAGGUCGAAAUACAGCUCAGCUUUCUGAACAGUUAGAACGUAUAUCAAUACAGUGUGUUGUAUGGCGAAGUAAAUUCCUCGCAAGCAGGGUAAUGGCAGAUGAGUUAACCAACUCCAGAGCAGCUUUACAGCGUCAAACCCGUGAUGCACACAGUGCCAUACAAGAUCUCUUGAGUGAACAGUAACAGUUUCGUCAGCAAAUGAUAGCUACCCAAAAAUUACUGGAGGAGCUCUUAGUCUCCUUGCAGUGGGGAAGACAGCAAACUUACUCUCCUAGUGCACAACCCCAUAGCACAGCAGAACUAGCGUUAACAAAUCACAAGUUGGCAAAAGCAGUAAAUUCUCAUAUUCUGGGAAAUGUUGGCAAUAGCAGUCAAAAAAAGAUUCCAUCAACAGUUGAAUUCUGCAGCACCCCAGCUGAGAAAAUGGCUGAAAAGGUUCUACGCAUUUUGGAUCCAGUUACCUGUACAGAGAGUUCAUCUGAUAAUGUGUUUUUUGAGUCUUCACCAACCACCUUACUUGCUACAAAGAAAAAUAUCGGAUCUGAUAAUGUGUUUUUUGAGUCUUCACCAACCACCUUACUUGCUACAAAGAAAAAUAUCGGACGAUUUCACCCCUAUACUAGAUAUGAAAAUAUAACUUUCAAUUGCUGUAAUCACUGCCAGGGAGAACUUAUUGCCCUUUAA